RNAcentral lists this non-coding RNA (161 nucleotides) under Streptomyces fradiae. The record is from RNAcentral. Lineage: Bacteria; Bacillati; Actinomycetota; Actinomycetes; Kitasatosporales; Streptomycetaceae. RNAcentral also lists the same sequence under 1 other name.
AUGAUCUUCUACCGGCCGGUUAGGGUGUCUCCCGACAACUUCAUCCGUGCCCUGACAGGGGAAGACCGGUGCGAAUCCGGCGCUGACCCGCAACCGUGAGUACACCCCGCGCCCCGCGCGCCCGUACGAGCCGGAGCACCUGUCCGGGCGCGAACAGGCUC